RNAcentral lists this long non-coding RNA (7404 nucleotides) under Zea mays. Its description in RNAcentral is "long non-coding RNA (ZMAY_LNC002548)". The record is from RNAcentral. Lineage: Eukaryota; Viridiplantae; Streptophyta; Magnoliopsida; Poales; Poaceae.
UUGUUCCAAUUAUUCUGUUAUUUUAUUUAUGUUCAUGUCAAGAUCAUUAUUUUUAAUUGGAACAUGGAGCUUAACUUGAGAAACACGUGCCACCACAAGGCUGGAAUGGGCACCCUUGGCUGACUAACUAGUUAAGCUAGUGGAGAACUGUCACACCCGGGUUUUAGGGGUCCAAAACCCGGGCGCGAACAUAAUCACUAGGUGUGCUGGGACCAAGUCUCACACAUAUUAUGAAUCAUGGCACAGGAUCGAAUGUCACAACUUUACUAUAUAAUAGGAGUUCUAUACAAAAUAAACAAAUAAUUACAUUAUAAGGAGACAACGGUCCAGCAACCCAAAGUUGACUGGGAGACGACGGCCUAGACCUCUCACGAACACAUCACCGUAUCCUUCAUACGCCUCAUCCUGCGGUACCUGUUCUUGACCUGUGGGGGGUGUGAGACAGCAAGAGUGAGCUCACAUAUGUUCAUCGCUCAACAAGUUGUGGGGAAUAAUGUGCAUGAACUCGCCAAAGGUGGGAGCUCACGUGAAGUGUAAGGCUUACCAAAGAGGAUGGUUAGAGCUGAGCAUUGCUUUUAAAGUUGGUCAAAAUUUUAUUAGCAAUUACUAAGUAUAAGUAAAUACCAACCCAAUUAAGAAAAGCAAUAACAUCACUUGCGAUGCAAUGCAUAUGACAAAUUGAAUUUAGUUCCAUAAAUUAAUCAUGUGAGGGUCCGAGCUGCUCAUGACCGUGAGCACGGCUAGUAUACCAGUUUUACACUCUGCAGAGGUUGCGCAUCUUUACCCACAAGUCAUGUUACCCAUCUGCCAAGGGAUCACGACUUCCCAUACACCUCUACCGAGGAGGCGAGGCAGGGUAACACUAUGAGGCAUUUACAAAGUUCCACUAGCUUAAGAAAACCCGCUACAGUUUAUAGGAAGCUACAAUGCAGGGAUCCCUAGCAUGAUCGCCAUCGCAGCAAAAUCAUCCCAAGGACCUCCCUACACUGACCACUCCCCUACUGCCCUUGCCCCUUUCGGGUAAGGUAGUCUUCCACUAGCUUUCCUAAUUAAUCAGCCAAGGGCGUCCAUAAACCCUUGUGGUAGCACUGUUUUUACGGGUGGUCGCUCCAUGUUCCAAUUAACAUAAUGAUCUUAUCAUGAACAGUAAUAAUAAACAGAUAAUAAAAGUGUGAUCAUGAAUAAUGUAUCUUCAUACCCAAAACCACAUAAAGCACUAGCAAGUACUACCCAAAAAGUUCAGUGGUAAACAAGGUAUAAAGAUAGACAAACUAGGGUAACCUAUUGGGUCCCAUCAAAAUUAACCUAUGCAGAUCAUUAUGAUUAAUCAGAACAUGGCUGGGUAAAAAGAAGUGAUCAAGGGCACAACUUGCCUGGCACUUGAGAUUCCAGGUACCAACUUGCUCUUCAGAUGACACGUGUCCCCACUUCUAAACGUAGCAAUACAGACAAACAUGUACAGGCAAAAUUAACAUCACACCAAACAUAAGAUUAAACUGCGUAUUAAUAUUCUACACGUUGCUACGAGAUCGUAGAAACAAGAACCACUAAAUUCGGAGCUACGGUUAUUAAGUUAGGAAUUUAUGAAGUUAUUUAAUACCUAGAAUAGAGUUAUUCAUCUGAAUAAUUUUAAAUCAAGUUUCAUGGUUAGACAAAGGUACUAGGUAAUAAACAAUACUUAAACAAAAUUAAUGCCACUGGAAUGAAUCAAUUUGGAGCUAAAUUCAUCAAGUUAUGAAUUUCCUAAGUUUGGGACAUUAUUUUGCAUUAAAAAGAAUUUCUGUAUUAAAUUUAAUAGAUUUCUGAGUUACUUGGACUGCGGCCACUAUUUAACAGAAACCCAGGGGGUUCUGCGCAAACGACACCAAGACUCAGAACUCCCACAGUGGACGGCGGGUUGAAUAAUAGAAACCCGAAGGUUUAUUUAACAAUUUUACCAGGACGAAAGGGUAACUUCUGUUGUGAGCCAACUUAUCAAAUUUUAGUGGCUCAGAUUAGAUCGGCGUGAUUGCGAACCGGUACACGCCAUCAGCCGCGAGAUCGAGAUCCAAUGGUUCGGAUUUUAUGAGACUCAAACUAACCACAUCCGACCGAUACAAGAUCUACGGCACCCGCUCUACCCCUCUCAACACCCAUGCCUAACUGAAUCUGGACCGCCCGCGCAGAUCGAACGGUGCCCACGCAUCGUCUUCCACACCCGGCAGAGGACGGUGGCGCAGGCCCCCACGGCGGUGCCCAUGGCCGGCGUGCAGUGCCCUCGCGGCGCUGGUGCUCUCAACUUAACCCCGACAGGUGCUAAACGAUGCAGUGGAACAUGCGAGUUGAUUCGGAGAUUCCUUACCAUGAUUCGUGAAAUGCAGAGCCUUCGCCCCGGUGCACGGCGUGGUGUAGGUGAUGGCAAACUAUGAGGGACGUGAUCUACCGAAAAUGAAAACGAAAACAAGGCGAGGAGAGAUGGCAGUGCACUGUGGAUUCCACGGUGGCGGCCACCGGCGAGGUCUAACCCCGACGCUCCAAGCUUGGCUUCUAUCUUGAGUGGGCGCAAAACAAAGCCAAGGAUACAACGAACCAACUCAAGGUGACUCACCAGCGGUCGAUGCAAUUUAGCAGACUUCUCGUCGCCGUGCGGCUUGGCGGCAACAAUGAACUCCGGCAAGCCAUUCCCCCUGCUUGCUGUGGACUUUCCCGUGAUCAGGGUGAGACCACAUGCAGACUUAGUGCGACACAACUAUGUUUUGAACCAUCUGCGGCCGCUACGGUAAUGAUCUUUCCCAGCUCUCCUGCACGCUAGGCGACUGGGCACUCGACUUCCCGCACAACUAGCUUGGACAUGAUUGGAGCGAGGCAGCCGAUGUUUAUACUCAGCAGGGAGACGAGUCCGCGCCCUAUGGAGCUAUCUCGAGAUUGCGGCAGAGAUUGCGGAGAUUCAGUUGUAACGGACUUGAUUGGAGCUCGGACUCUGAAGAAGAAAUCAGCCAGAGUGCCCCAUAUGCUAGCGAUCAGGAGAAUACGAAUAAUCUGAUGCCAUCCCUUACCUCACAUGGCGGCAAGCAAAUAAACAAAACAAAAAGGGAUGUGGGCAUGGGCAUGGGCAUGGGUCGUGCGGUGAGGAUGUGAAGCCUAGGUGCGGUUCUUUUCCCUCUUUUUCCCUUUCUAUUUCAUUCUCUUUUCUUAAUUCCUUCUCUAUUUUUAAAUUAUAUAUAUAUUGACUUAAACUUAUCUCGUACAUUCGAAUACAAAUGCAACAUACAAGAAGUCUUUAGCAUGAGAUGCCUAUUUCUGUUUUUAUUUAUUUAUUUGACCAAUAUAAUUCCUUUGAUUGAAUAUGCACAAAAUCAAGUAAUCUCCAAUGGUUCCAUAAUCCUAAAACCUUACAUAAUAAUAUUUCUUAUUUAUUUAUUUUGUUAUUAUUAUUUUUUAUACAAAUUUUGGGCUUUACAAAUUCUACCCCCUUAACAGAAAUCUCGGCCCCGAGAUUUGUAAGAAAAUGAUAUAGGAAGAGUGGUUUGCAAUUUAGCUUUCAGUUUCUAAUUAUUUCAAAAAUCAAGAGCCUCUUUUUUUGAGUGAUUAGGAAAGCAUGGGUAUCCAUAUGUAUAGUCAUUUUAUUAUGUAGUACGAAAGAUGGGUUGGUUAGGGCAAGAAUAUUCUAGUGUAAGAAAGUUUAUGGUGAGAAAGAACUCCUUGUUGGGUGGUAAUGCAUCUGAAGAUCGAGUUUGACUUCUCUCCUUCCUUGACGAGUUUGAUCUUGUCCUUUUCCAGUCUUGCUCUUUGGUGUCUCCAUCCGGGUUUGGGACAAGAGGCUAAGAUAGAUCUGUUAUGUAGGUCAAGUUGUUGGGUAUGGCCGAGUUGAUCUAGGUCAUCAAUUUAAGCUUAAGUGGGUUUGGAGUAUGGCUUAAUCCGUUGUACCAGCAUUGAGUAACUUACUCUAGAUUAGAUCAUAAUAGAUUAGAUAGAAUCUAGAUUAGGUUGGUAUAACUAGAUUAGACUAGAUAAUAUCUAAUUACUUUGGAUUAGAUCAUGGUUGUUAUUCUAGAGUGGGAUAAAUAUGCUAAUUAGGGCAUGAUGAAUCCAUAAAGAUAAGGUAGAAUCUUUUGAGAUAAGAUGGAUCUAUGGGUGUAGAAUAUGAAUAUUUUAAGAUGAGAUGACUAUUGUUAGGCUAGAUACUUUAAUGAGGGAUAAUCUAGUUUAUCUAGUUAUUGUAUAAACACUAUCCUUUAUGCCUAGAUAUCUAUGCAGAUGUAAUUGUGGAUAUUACUCCACAACUCAUCACACUCAAUCAAAGAUCCAAAUCAGAAAAAUAUCAUAAGAACAAACACUCAAGCGCAUAGAUACCUAUAAAAAUAGUUUUAUUUUUUUGUUCCUAAGAGUAGGUCUCCUAUUCCUAAAAGUCACUUUAGGCAGAAGAUUUCAAAGUGUGAAAUCCUCAUUUGUCUUUUAGAAAGAAAAGAUAAGAAUAAUCAGAGUAAAGCAGAAAUAGAUGAGAAUAGAUUAAGAAAAGUUUAGAAAGAACCAGAGUAGCACAGGUAAGUAAAUAUUGGUUGUCCAGUUUUAUCUAGGUUGCGUCCUACAGUCAACAUUGCUCUGAUACCACUUCUGUCACACCCGGGUUUUAGGGCUCCAAAACUCGGGCGCGAACAUAAUCACCAGGUGUGCUAGGACCAAGUCUCACACAUAUGAUGAAUCAUGGCACAGGAUCGAAUGUCACAACUUUACUAUAUAAUAGGAGUUCUAUACAAAAUAAAUAAAUAAUUACAUUAUAAGGAGACAACGGUCCAGCAACCCAAAGUUGACUGGGAGACGACGACCUAGACCUCUCACGAACACAUCGUCGUAUCCUUCAUACGCCUCAUCCUGCGGUACCUGUUCUUGACCUAUGGGGGGUGUGAGACAGCAAGAGUGAGCUCACAUACGUUCAUCGCUCAACAAGUUGUGGGGAAUAAUGUGCAUGAACUCGCCAAAGGUGGGAGCUCACGUGAAGUGUAAGGCUUACCAAAGAGGAUGGUUAGAGCUGAGCAUUGCUUUUAAAGUUGGUCAAAAUUUUAUUAGCAAUUACUAAGUAUAAGUAAAUACCAACCCAAUUAAGAAAAGUAAUAACAUCACCUGCGAUGCAAUGCAUAUGACAAAUUGAAUUUGGUUCCAUAAAUUAAUCAUGUGAGGGUCUGAGCUGCUCAUGACCGUGAGCACGGCUAGUAUACCAGUUUUACACUCUGCAGAGGUUGCGCAUCUUUACCCACAAGUCAUGUUACCCAUCUGCCAAGGGAUCGCGACUUCCCAUACACCUCUACCGAGGAGGCAAGGCAGGGUAACACUACGAGGCCUUUACAAAGUUCCACUAGCUUCAGAAAACCCGCUACAGUUUAUAGGAAGCUCCAAUGCAGGGAUCCCUCGCAUGAUCGCCAUCGCAGCAAAAUCAUCCCAAGGACCUCCCUACACUGACCACUCCCCUACUGCCCUUGCCCCUUUCGGGUAAGGUAGUCUUCCACUAGCUUUCCUAAUUAAUCAGCCAAGGGCGUCCAUAAACCCUUGUGGUAGCACUGUUUUCCCGGGUGGUCGCUCCAUGUUCCAAUUAACAUAAUGAUCUUAUCAUGAACAAUAAUAAUAAACAGAUAAUAAAAGUGUGAUCAUGAAUAAUGUAUCUUCAUAUCCAAAACCACAUAAAACACUAGCAAGUACUACCCAAAAAGUUCAGUGGUAAACAAGGUAUAAAGAUAGACAAACUAGGGUAACCUAUUGGGUCCCAUCAAAAUUAACCUAUGCAGAUCAUUAUGAUUAAUCAGAACAUGGCUGGGUAAAAAGAAGUGAUCAAGGGCACAACUUGCCUGGCACUUGAGAUUCCAGGUACCAACUUGCUCUUCAGAUGACACGUGUCCUCACUGCUAAACAUAGCAAUACAGACAAACAUGUACAGGCGAAAUUAACAUCACACCAAACAUAAGAUUAAACUGCGUAUUAAUAUUCUACGCGUUGCUACGAGAUCGUAGAAACAAGAACCACUAAAUUCGGAGCUACAGUUAUUAAGUUAGGAAUUUAUGAAGUUAUUUAAUACCUAGAAUAGAGUUAUUCAUGUGAAUAAUUUUAAAUCAAGUUUCAUGGUUAGACAAAGGUACUAGGUAAUAAACAAUACUUAAACAAAAUUAAUGCCACUAGAAUGAAUCAAUUUGGAGCUAAAUUCAUCAAGUUAUGAAUUUCCUAAGUUUGGGACAUUAUUUUGCAUUAAAAAGAAUUUCUGUAUUAAAUUUAAUAGAUUUCUGAGUUACUUGGACUGUGGCCACUAUUUAACAGAAACCCAGGGGGUUCUGCGCAAACGACACCAAGACUCAGAACUCCCACAGUGGACGGCGGGUUGAAUAAUAGAAACCCGAAGGUUUAUUUAACAAUUUUACCAGGACGAAAGGGUAACUUCUGUUGUGAGCCAACCGAUCAAAUUUUAGUGGCUGAGAUUAGAUCGGCGUGAUUGCGAACCGGUACACGCCAUCAGCCGCGAGAUCAAGAUCCAAUGGUUCGGAUUUUAUGAGACUCAAACUAACCACAUCCGACCGAUACAAGAUCUACGGCACCCGCUCUACCCCUCUCAACACCCAUGCCUAACUGAAUCUGGACCGCCCGUGCAGAUCGGACGGUGUCCACGCAUCGUCUUCCACACCCAGCAGAGGACGGCGGCGCAGGCCCCCACGGCGGUGCCCAUGGCCGGCGUGCAGUGCCCUCGCGGCGCUGGUGCUCUCAACUUAACCCCGACAGGUGCUAAACGAUGCAGUGGAACAGGCGAGUUGAUUAGGAGAUUCCUUACCAUGAUUCGUGAAAUGCAGAGCCUUCGCCCCGGUGCACGGCGUGGUGUAGGUGAUGGCAAACUAUGAGGGACGCGAUCUACCGAAAAUGAAAACGAAAACAAGGCGAGGAGAGAUGGCAGUGCACUGUGGAUUCCACGGUGGCGGCCACCGGCGAGGUCUGACCCCGACGCUCCAAGCUUGGCUUCUAUCUUGAGUGGGCGCAAAACAAAGCCCAGGAUACAACGAACCAACUCAAGGUGACUCACCAGCGGUCGAUGCAAUUUAGCAGACUUCUCGUCGCCGUGCGGCUUGGUGGCAACAAUGAAUUCCGGUAAGCCAUUCCCCUGCUUGUUGUGGACUUUCCCGUGAUCAGGGUGAGACCACAUGCAGACUUAGUGCGACACAACUAUGUUUUGAACCAUCUGCAGCCGCUACGGUAAUGAUCUUUCCCAGCUCUCCUGCACGCUAGGCGACUGGGCACUCGACUUCCCGCACAACUGGCUUGGACAUGAUUGGAGCGAGGCAGCCGAUGUUUAUACUCAGCAGGGAGACGAGUCCGCGCCCUGUGGAGCUAUCUCGAGAUUGCGGCAGAGAUUGCGGAGAUUCAGUUGUAACGGACUUGAUUGGAGCUCGGACU